This is a long non-coding RNA of Serinus canaria (Common canary), 1062 nucleotides long. The record is from Ensembl. Lineage: Eukaryota; Metazoa; Chordata; Aves; Passeriformes; Fringillidae.
CCCCAAAAAUUCACCCCAAAAUUUACCUGCAGACCCCAAAAAUGCACCCCAAAAUUCAUCCCUGGAGACCCCAAAAAUUCACCCCCAAAAUCCCAAAUUCACCCCAAAAUUCUCACCUGAAACACCAAAAAUUCACCUGGAGACCCCAAAAUUCACCUGAAAAUCCCAAAAAUUCAACCCAAAAUUCACCCCAAGAUUCACCUGGAGACCCCAAAAAUUCACCCCAAGAUUCACCUGAAAAUCCCAAAAAUUCAACCCAAAAUUCACCCCAAGAUUCACCUGGAGACCUCAAAAUUCACACCUGGAAACCCCAAAUUCACCCCAAAAUUCACCUGGACACCCCAAAAUUCACCUGGAGACCCCAGAAAAAUCCCAUUUUUUCGUCUAUAAAUCCCUUUUUUUUCCCCAUUAAAAUCCCAUUUUUUCUUCUAAAAAUCCCAUUUUUGGCCCUAAAAAUCCCAUUUUUUGGUCUAAAAAUCCCAUUUUUUUGCCUAAAAACCCCAUUUUUUCACCCAAAAUUUUGGGUUUUUUUCCCUAAAUCCCCAUUUUUUGCCCCAAACCCACAGAUUUUCGGGUUUCUGUGCGUCCCACUCCCUCCUCCAGGCCCCCUUGGGGUCCCGGUGUCUCUGGAGCCGCUCGCGGUCGAUCCGUUCCCGUUCCCGUCCCCAAAUCCCAAAAUCCCAUUUUUUGGGUCUAAAAAUCCCAUUUUUUCCCACUAAAAUCCCAUUUUUUCCUUCUAAAAAUCCCAUUUUUGGCCCUAAAAAUCCCAUUUUUUGGUCUAAAAAUCCCAUUUUUUUGCCUAAAAACCCCAUUUUUUUUGCCCAAAAUCCCAUUUUUUUUUCCCUAAAUCCCCAUUUUUUGCCCCAAACCCACAGAUUUUCGGGUUUCUGUGCGUCCCACUCCCUCCUCCAGGCCCCCUUGGGGUCCCGGUGUCUCUGGAGCCGCUCGCGGUCGAUCCGUUCCCGUUCCCGUUUCCAGCGCUCGUACUCCGCCCGCUGCCGCCCCGUCAUCCACAGCGUGGGGUCCAGGGGGGCCGACCGACCGACCGACCGCCGCCGACCG